This 288-nucleotide ribosomal RNA is filed under the name uncultured bacterium. RNAcentral describes it as "partial 16S ribosomal RNA". It matches the Rfam family "Bacterial small subunit ribosomal RNA", at positions 67 to 354 of the family's 1533-position model. The record is from RNAcentral.
CGGUUAAACCGCCCUCGGGCGGACAUACAGUGGCGAACGGGUGAGUAACACGUGACCAACCUGCCCCGCGCUCCGGGACAACCGCUGGAAACGGCGGCUAAUACCGGAUACUCCGCGGCCCCCGCAUGGGGGCGGCGGGAAAGCCCCGACGGCGCGGGAUGGGGUCGCGGCCCAUUAGGUAGUAGGCGGGGUAGAGGCCCACCUAGCCGACGAUGGGUAGCCGGACUGAGAGGUCGAUCGGCCACAUUGGGACUGAGAUACGGCCCAGACUCCUACGGAAGGCAGCAG